UUAACUCAAAUUUGUAUGGAGUUGUAACGCUUGUCAACGUUUGCUACUAAGAGUACUUUUCGAACUGCAUACAAAUUUGCGUUA
RNAcentral lists this microRNA precursor (84 nucleotides) under Bombyx mori (domestic silkworm). Its description in RNAcentral is "mir-2807 microRNA precursor family". It matches the Rfam family "mir-2807 microRNA precursor family". The record is from Rfam by way of RNAcentral. Lineage: Eukaryota; Metazoa; Arthropoda; Insecta; Lepidoptera; Bombycidae.